This 459-nucleotide ribosomal RNA is filed under the name uncultured bacterium. RNAcentral describes it as "partial 16S ribosomal RNA". It matches the Rfam family "Bacterial small subunit ribosomal RNA", at positions 338 to 795 of the family's 1533-position model. The record is from RNAcentral.
CCUACGGGAGGCAGCAGUGAGGAAUAUUGGUCAAUGGCCGGAAGGCUGAACCAGCCAAGCCGCGUGAAGGACGAAGGUGCCAAGCAUUGUAAACUUCUUUUGUCAAGGGACAAAAUCAGGCUCGAGAGCCUGACCGCGGGUACUUGAAGAAAAAGCAUCGGCUAACUCCGUGCCAGCAGCCGCGGUAAUACGGAGGAUGCGAGCGUUAUCCGGAUUUAUUGGGUUUAAAGGGUGCGUAGGCGGACUGUUACGUCAGCGGUAAAAGCCCGGGGCUCAACCCCGGCGAGCCGUUGAAACUGGCUGUCUUGAGAUGUCGAGAGGUAUGCGGAAUGCGCAGUGUAGCGGUGAAAUGCAUAGAUAUCACGCAGAACUCCGAUUGCGAAGGCAGCAUACCGGCGCUCAACUGACGCUCAUGCACGAAAGCGUGGGUAUCGAACAGGAUUAGAUACCCCUGUAGUC